Molecule: ribosomal RNA, 253 nt
Filed under: uncultured bacterium
Lineage: Bacteria
Description: partial 16S ribosomal RNA
Rfam family: Bacterial small subunit ribosomal RNA
Source: RNAcentral
UACAGGGGGUGCAAACGUUGCUUGGAAUUAUUGGGCGUAAAGCGCGCGUAGGCGGCUACUUAAGUCGGAUGUGAAAGCCCCUGGCUCAACUGGGGAAGUGCACCCGAAACUGAGUGGCUUGAGUACUAAAGAGGGUCGCGGAAUUCCCGGUGUAGAGGUGAAAUUCGUAGAUAUCGGGAGGAACACCGGUGGCGAAGGCGGCGACCUGGGUAGAUACUGACGCUGAGGCGCGAAAGCGUGGGGAGCAAACAGG